AUGAACGCUGGCGGCGUGCCUAAUACAUGCCAGUCGAGCGAACAGAUGAGGAGCUUGCUCCUCUGACGUUAGCGGCGGACGGGUGAGUAACACGUGGAUAACCUACCUAUAAGACUGGGAUAACUUCGGGAAACCGGAGCUAAUACCGGAUAAUAUAUUGAACCGCAUGGUUCAAUAGUGAAAGACGGUUUUGCUGUCACUUAAAGAUGGAUCCGCGCCGCAUUAGCUAGUUGGUAAGGUAACGGCUUACCAAGGCAACGAUGCGUAGCCGACCUGAGAGGGUGAUCGGCCACACUGGAACUGAGACACGGUCCAGACUCCUACGGGAGGCAGCAGUAGGGAAUCUUCCGCAAUGGGCGAAAGCCUGACGGAGCAACGCCGCGUGAGUGAUGAAGGUCUUCGGAUCGUAAAACUCUGUUAUUAGGGAAGAACAAAUGUGUAAGUAACUAUGCACGUCUUGACGGUACCUAAUCAGAAAGCCACGGCUAACUACGUG
RNAcentral lists this ribosomal RNA (496 nucleotides) under uncultured bacterium. RNAcentral's name for it is "partial 16S ribosomal RNA". It matches the Rfam family "Bacterial small subunit ribosomal RNA", at positions 29 to 507 of the family's 1533-position model. The record is from RNAcentral.